RNAcentral lists this ribosomal RNA (253 nucleotides) under uncultured bacterium. Its description in RNAcentral is "partial 16S ribosomal RNA". It matches the Rfam family "Bacterial small subunit ribosomal RNA", at positions 524 to 776 of the family's 1533-position model. The record is from RNAcentral.
UACGUAGGGGGCAAGCGUUGUCCGGAUUUAUUGGGCGUAAAGAGCGUGUAGGCGGCCAAGCAGGUCCGCUGUGAAAACUCGAGGCUCAACCUCGAGACGUCGGUGGAAACCGUUUGGCUAGAGUCCGGAAGAGGAGAGUGGAAUUCCCGGUGUAGCGGUGAAAUGCGCAGAUAUCGGGAAGAACACCCGUGGCGAAGGCAGGUCUCUGGGCCAUAACUGACGCUGAGAAGCGAAAGCAUGGGGAGCGAACAGG